CUCAGGAACUUAUUUGGAUGUCUGUAGGUGCAUGAGUUAUGGUGAAAGGUGGUGUUGGUUAGAAAGUCAGUAAAAUUCUAAGUGUUAGAGUUUUAAGAGUAGAGUGUUAGUCUCAGAUGUUGUCCUGGGUCUCUCUGCAUGUCCGAGUUGGAGUCUCCAACCUUCCAAUUCCUCUCUCUUCCUUUUCCUCCUUGCAUUCCCCUGUCUUCCAUUUGUCCUAACUUUUAAAGGGCCAGACUCUCUGUACAUCAUCAGUUGAUAACCCAAUAGAAGCACUAGAGGUGUGCUUACCUAGGGAUCGCAAUUUAGGUAUUUGGUCUAUAGAGGGCAGUCUUGUCCCACUAAACAUACCUAUCCAGGAAAGAGUUAACUUUUCCUGGUGGCUAUUUUGACGUCAUUUUGGCCUAUCUUGAUAGUGGCCAUAAUUUAAGUAUCCUUUCAGAUCAAAGGGUUUCUUUAAGUUUUGUCCAGACUAUGUGUCUGGCAAAUUCUGAGUUUUGACCCGUAACUUACAAUGGGACCUUAUACAUAUAGAAAGUAAAUUAAAUUAUUUAAUCUUCUCUGUCACCAAUGUCUGGGUUUAGAAUUGAUUAUAUUCCAUUAGCAUUUUAGACAGUCUAUCCAACCCCCGUUCUCCUUAUCACUUGGUUUGUAUAUACUAUGCAUUCCUUUAGCUCUGGCAAAGUGGUUAGUUUUACAUAUAGAAAUCUUGUGUCUUUUGUUAACUUGGAAAUAACAAAAUGGAGUCUGGUCUGUUCAGAGUGACUCAGAAUAUACACUUUUAAUUUCUAUCAUAGCACAAGAUGUCUGCCGAUAUAAAUACCCUGACAUGACCUACUGAAACAGAUUAAUACAAAUUCAAUGUACCAUAUGCUUUGUCUUGGUUAAGCAACUCAGUCAGUAACGAUAGAACUUGUGUUACAGGAGCAGAUAUGGUAUCCAAACAUAUUCCCAAGCACCGGCUAUUCCAAAUAUUCAAUGCAGUUUGGUAAGAACUAGGCAUGUGCAUGGGGAAAAUUUUCGGUUUGGUUCCGCAUUCAGAAAUUCGUGAUUUUGGCAAUUCGGCUCUUCAACACUUCGGAACUUCAGCACUUCGGCACUUCAACACUUUGGAAAUUCGGCACUUCGGAAAUUCGGGACUUCUAUUGCAGCCGCUUACUAGAUAACUCCCUAAUCCCGUGGGAAUUAGGGAGUUAUCUACCAAAAGGCUGAAAGACCUAAAUUGGUCUUUGUAGCGGAGAGCUGGUCUUUCACAGGUUAACUCCACUAAAGAUCCCGGUGAGGCUCAGGGACAAGUAAUAAAAUACCAUAGAAUAAUCACAGCAAGCAAGGUAAUCCACGAAUAUCCCCAUACAGAUCCCAAUGAAUGGACAACACACAGUAUCAGGAGCAGAACUGAACUUUUAAUCACACAACCUUCUUUUAAAGCUUUCUCCCAUGCAAGGGAGGGAUUCACAGUAAUUAUUACUGUAGCCAAUAGUGUAACAGUUACCUCCCACACAUCUCCUCCCCUCAGUGUGACACAUAAUUCCAUUAAACAUUGUGACGAGACCAAUCUCACCACAUUGCAUUGGAGAAGCCUGGUUGCUCGCCUGUUGCCUUUGGAUUAUGGCCCCAUGUUAAAAGACUUCUUUUCCCCUGCAGAAAAGGCUUAGUCAUGCCUUUCUGCCCGGCGGUCGGUAGAUUCAGUCUACCGAACUAACGCACGAAUGACUAAACCACCUGGGAGCAGGAGUGUGUCGGCAAUUAACCUCCCAGAAGCUGCGGUUAACCGCAGCUUAAUUGACGAAUUCUAGGUGGCCGCCAUUCGUAUACGGAACACGAGGUCGCGGCCAUUUUUAACACGCGAACGCACAGCGGUAUUCGACGCCCAACUCAUGGAACUUAAAACGGAUACAUUUUGGCGCGAUCACCGCUGAAGCCACCGACCUCCCUUCUUGUUCGGUAGAUGUGCAUGAACGGCCCUAUAUUCGGUAGUUGUACCCGAAUACACCAUACCCCAGAUAGGAAUCCUGUGGAGCUCAUUCGUAUGAAAACUGACUUUGUGAACACUCUGGCGCCACAGCGAUUGGACUGUGUGCAUAGGAUGUGAGCGCUAUUCGGUACUUUGGUACGCUCAGAUCCUAGCUAUCUGGGGACAUGUUGAAUGCCUGUAAAAUGUUGUAAAAUAUAACAGUUAUGUAUUUUUAUGUCUUUUUGUUAUUGUCAUCUAAAAUGGCGUUUAGGCUCUGUCCUGGGAGAUAAUUGAAUUACUUCACAAUUAUCUCCCUGAGCAGAGCAGAGGGUUCUGGGUAAGAAAAGGGGAAUGAAUAAGUGUGUAC
This 2321-nucleotide long non-coding RNA is filed under the name Pelobates cultripes (western spadefoot toad). Lineage: Eukaryota; Metazoa; Chordata; Amphibia; Anura; Pelobatidae. The record is from RNAcentral.